RNAcentral lists this ribosomal RNA (236 nucleotides) under uncultured bacterium. RNAcentral describes it as "partial 16S ribosomal RNA". It matches the Rfam family "Bacterial small subunit ribosomal RNA", at positions 100 to 334 of the family's 1533-position model. The record is from RNAcentral.
CGGGACGGGUGAGUAACGCGUGGGUAACCUGCCUUGUACUGGGGGACAACAGUUAGAAAUGACUGCUAAUACCGCAUAAGCGCACAGUAUCGCAUGAUACAGUGUGAAAAACUCCGGUGGUACAAGAUGGACCCGCGUCUGAUUAGCUAGUUGGUAAGGUAACGGCUUACCAAGGCGACGAUCAGCAGCCGACCUGAGAGGGUGACCGGCCACAUUGGGACUGAGACACGGCCCAA